This is a long non-coding RNA of Bactrocera neohumeralis, 891 nucleotides long. RefSeq lists it as uncharacterized. The transcript has 2 exons. The record is from RefSeq and is a predicted model, not a curated record. NCBI's taxonomy places the organism in Eukaryota, Metazoa, Arthropoda, Insecta, Diptera, Tephritidae.
AUAAAAGUUAUGCCGCAAUUAUUAUAUAGUAGUCCAAAAAUAUGACUUCUUAUUUAUCCCAGAAAUACAUUCGUGAAAAAAGGGAUCUUUAUCCUUUUUUUAUUUUCCACAUAAAAUAUUUAAGGAGUUCAAGAGCUCAAAACAUUCGCUACAUCAGCUACCUACUCGACGGCAUUUCGCAAAUGAUGAAAUAAAUUUUUCAAGAGCUCAAAGCAUGCGCUACCUUAGCUCGAACCUACAUACCUUACGCAUUUGCGCAAAUGAUUAUAUUAUGAUAACAAAUGCCCACAUACAGAUUUGGCAAUGGCAAUAGCAAUACGUUUGACUGUUAGUAUUCUAUAAAUUCUAUCCUGUCGAGAUGCCCCGUUAGCAGCGGCCCCGUACCCCUACUAAUUAGUAUUCCAUAAGCAAUAUGGAGUCUCCACACGCAAUACGCAAAGCAACACAGUUAGUAUACAAUACAUGUUUGCCUGUCGAGAUGCCCGUAAGGACUUGUGUUUAAUUUCCGACUCGAUUUAUGAAAGUUUCCCGUUAAUGUAACGGGAUCAUUAAAAGUGCCCAUACACGACACAGGGGCGUUCGAUCGGUGUGAAUUCGUUUCGCCCAUACACCAUGAGAUAAAGAGAUGUUUAACUCCUCUCUCACUGGAAGUGAGAGAACAAUUGCUAAACGUUAAAACCACCAAAACUUUGACAGUUGAUCGAGUUCAGGAGGUUUUGACGUUUAGCAAUUGGAAACGAGCGAUGGCCAGAUUGAAACCUUACCAAAAAGAUAUGUAAACGGAGGGAUUUGUUGCAUCGUUCAAGACCACCUAUAAAAAAUGUAAAACAAUGAAAAUUAAAUAAAUUUGUGAAAUUUAAAGGUAUUUGAUGAAACGUUUUGUAAUUUUAA